Long non-coding RNA from Xenopus laevis (African clawed frog), 2305 nucleotides. RefSeq lists it as uncharacterized. The transcript is spliced from 2 exons. NCBI's taxonomy places the organism in Eukaryota, Metazoa, Chordata, Amphibia, Anura, Pipidae. The record is from RefSeq and is a predicted model, not a curated record.
CGGGCCAAAUACGGCCCGAUAUCCAUUUUUAAUUGGCCCGCAGCGUGCAAAACUCCCUCCCCCCUCUCAGCAUCCAUAAAAAAAAAAAGUUUCCUACCACGGCGUCAUUGAGGGGCGGAACCUACAGUGCUUCACAGAAGCUACAGAAGCUUGUCCUAAACUCCGCCCUCCCCUCCCCGUGACUGGAGUUUAGUGUAGUGCGGGGAGGGAGGGGGAGCCAGUAAACAAACUGAAAGCAUGGCUCCAACUGCUGCCUAACCUGGCCUGGAUUUCCUGCAUGUUCUCAUGAACUAUGAUGAACAACAUGGAGCAUCAGUAGUUAUGGGACCUUAUAGAACUAAUGGAUGUUAUCAAGAAAAAACAUCAUGUGGAGAUGAAAAACAACUCAGUAAUAGAGAAGGGAGUGUGGCAGGAAAACUUUGUUCACCAAGUACAGAAUUCAUCCGCGAAAUUUUAGGGAAAUGCAUGAUCCAUGGCUCUGUUGACAGUUUGGAUGUAACAAAGACUCAUGUGGCAGUUUUAAGAAAAGGCAGUUUAGAAGUGAAACCCCAUCAGUGCUAAUAUGGUGAUUGUGACGGUGGGAGAAACAGGAUCAGGCAGAACAACACUCAUCAGUGGCCUCAUUCAUGAUAUUGUUGUGUGGAAUGGGGAGAUGCUACUGAUUCAGGCUCAUUGUGCAAAGACUGCAGAGAGGUCCACAGGGAAACUACAGAGAUCAACAUUUAUCAUUUAUUGUACAAUGACCCACUGGGAGAUUUGUCAUUCACAUACUGACGGUAUCAAAUCUCACAGAAAAUCCCUUGUCCUUAGCUAAGACUGUAAUUGCCACAAGUAAAUGACACUGCUCACAGUGAUUGGGCAAAAAUAGGGGAAUUGUGGGAAGACUCCAACGCUGAGUAAAAUACAUAAGUACAAUGGGAGUGUCACUGAUCUGGCCAAAUUAGCUACAAGAGAGGGGGUUCAUCAAUGCACAUUCCCCAAUGCCCUUUUCACUAGUCAUUUAGUAUCUGUGCAAGUGCUUGUAUUUACUAACAGGAGUUCUUAAUUUACAAAGUUAUGAUCAUAAGAUUGACAAACCCCAUAGCCAUGUCAUGGUAACCCCCAUAUGGUGGUCCCUAAGUAUUUACCUAAAAGCGUCUCUGUGUUUCCAAGAAAAGAAUUCAAUUCAUUUAAUUUAAUAGACAACCAUAUCAAUGAAUACAAAAAGUUUGAAGUGAAUAUAGAGGGGCUGCAACAAUACAAGAAAUAUGCACCUGAGAGAGCUGGUGUAACCCAGUCUGGAAUUGAUUUAGUUGAUGACAGUGACAUUUUAUGGAAGAGAAAACAAUGAAAACAGAACAAAAUGUCCAGAGACUGCAGUGACAGUGAAUAAACUUUCCAUGUGUCAGUCUGUCUGUAUUUCCACCCCAGGUGUGGGGCAAUUAGCAAAACAAAUGACAAUGACAAACAUAGGAACAAUUUUUGGUCCAGGGAUCUUGAGAUUCCAGGCAAAAAAAAAGCCCAUUGAGAUUAUUUUCUAAUAACAGAGUUUAUCAGUUUCACAAAUGAAUGAAUGACUUGUCACCUGUGGGUGUUUACUGACAUCUCACCUGAAUACAAGAUUCCCUAAGCUUCUAGGAACCCUCAGCAUCUUUAGGAAUAUUCCCAAUUAACUUAAUUUCUUACAGAAUUUAUUUCAAACCUUCAUAGUUCAUGCCUAGAGUUUCUCUUCUCCCUACUUCACACAAUAGUCACAUCUCCAGCCCAUUCACUCACUUGGACUGGAAACAACCGUGGUCAACAAGGACCUUCACUCAAACCCAAUGCAGCUACAUGAGAAGCACAAGAAGCCCUUCUCAAUGUAUGUGCUCUCCAUUCACUUGUAUGGGUUUUUAGGGAAAUAUUUAUGAAGGGGGUGAACGUGAGAAUUAACUUUUUGAUAAAUGCAACCCUGAGAAUCCCAUACAAGUGAAUAGAGAGCUGGAGAAUACCUUUCACCUUUUGGUAAAAAAUUGCCCCAAAUAUUGAGUGAUUUCCCCUCAGGAUUAUUUUAGAUUAUUUCUGUUCAGAAGAGACACUGGGAUUUCAGAAAAGUAAACAAAUGAUUAGAAAAAAAACAAAAGUGUGAAAACUGAUAGUAUUCUGAAUCUGUUAUAAUCUAUUGUAAUGUGUGAUUGUGAGUUUUAUCAUCCUGACAUGUGGAUAUUGACAUGUAUUAUAGUGUAUAUGUCAGAGUUCUUAAACCUUGUACAGGCAUAUUUACUAAAACUGUAUUUUUUAAUCUUAAAAUAAAAAAAUGAGGGGAUGAACUGUCUUCAGGAAUAUC